This 2847-nucleotide long non-coding RNA is filed under the name Homo sapiens (human). RNAcentral's name for it is "HSALNT0081906". Lineage: Eukaryota; Metazoa; Chordata; Mammalia; Primates; Hominidae. The record is from RNAcentral.
CUCCCCUCUCCGCCCUCCUCCCUCCGCCCUUCCUCCCCAGUGUUUGUUUCAAGCUUGUGCAACCGGGAGGUGGAGGCGGAGGGAGGGCGCGAGCGGCCCGGCCGGGAGGUGCGGAAGUUCGCCGCAGCAGCUCAUUGGCGGGCAGCGCCGCUUUCAUCAUUUCUCGGAAAAGUCAAUUUCAUUUUCGCUUCCCCAGGUCGCGGCGGCGGGAGCAACAAGCAGCGGCUCGUGAGUCCGCGGCUCGCACCCAGGGGCGCCCGCACGUGCGGCUAGAACGUCCGAGUCGGGGUCCGGGGCGGGGGGCGCAGGCCCGCGGCGGUAGGGGAGGAGAGCGGGCACCCGAGUCUCCAUCCUCAGGGUGGCCUGAAGGUUCCAGGAGGGCGUCCGGCGAAGGCACGGGGCUGCGACCAUCCAGUUAGCAGGGCUGGUGUGACUGUUGAGAGUAAAUGAAAAUUCGUUUUGUGACACCGACCACCUCCAAGGAAUGAAAGGAGCAGUCAGCCGAAACGACAGCAUUACUUGCGUCCUUACCUAAUUGGAACCUUAUCCGUGGCUGAGGGUGCCACCAUUGGAGGGGCCGCCGCCCCCUCUGACACCACCUGGCGCUCCGCUCCAUUUAGGAGCUAGAACGAAAAGGAGGCCCAUCCCCCAGUAAGUCACAGCCCACGCCAAGAUGAGUUCUGGAGCCUGUGCGACCGAAGUUUCUUCACCGCAGGGCGAGGUGGACAAGGGUGUGAGUUACUUUGACUUCAAGACGUCUCAGUGGCGGCUGGUUCUGGAGAGAGGCUUUAUGCUGGAGCACUUCCAGCAAAGUUCGGCUGGGGCCUCCUUAACUCACUGGCUGGUCACCCUUGGCCUCGGUUUUCAACCAAAGCCUAAGGCCUCAGUUUUCAACGCUGUAAAUGGAAAUAAAUGAGAGAAGAAAGUACAGCCCGUGUGACAAGUGCAGCAAGCAAUGCAACUUCCUUGGGACCUACCCUUUGUGGUCCCUUGCUUUAAAAGUAUAGAUUCACAUUUAGUUAGACCUGUUUCUUCCUCGCAUGCAAUUUCACCAGUCUUUUCCCAGACUUCUGUACUCAACAGAGGAAGUUCCUUCCUGGGAGACCAUAGCUGUUUGUAUGUAAAGAGUUGCGAAAAAACAAAAGCAAAACAAAAAACUCCAACACCUCUCUGUCACAGAAGUAUUGAAUUAUAUAGACUGGAAAAAUGGAAGUAUCCAAGAAAACGCGUGUGAAGAAACUGUUAGAGCACCCUGGGAUGUGUGGGCCUGGGACUGUUUGCCUUUGGCACGGCUAUGCUCCGAGCUUUGGAGGAGCCAAGGAAGAAAGGCCUAGUUCCUGAUCUUAAGGCCUUUGCAGUGUGCAUUGGGAGACAUAGACUGCAAUGAAAAGAUCAUUAUUGCAAGAGACAAAUGGCAUGGAGCCACAUUCCCAGAGACAGAGUUUCACCAUGUUGCCCAGGCUGGUCUCAAACUCCUGAGCUCAAACCAUCACCCACCUCGGCUUCCCAAAGUGCUGGGAUUACAGGCGUGAGCCACCACAUCUGACCGCGGGAGUCCUUUUACCCAAAGCCACCCAACAGACCCACGCAGAGACUUUUAACCAGCAAUCGUCUCAGUUCCCUCUGAGGCUGCCGGCUCUCCCUGUGACAGCAGCCCAUCUUAGCCCUUCCUGUGUAUCUCUGCUGCCUAAAGGAUGAGAGUUUCCUAAAGUGUAGAACUGUGAGGGGUGGAGGGACAUUCCUCUCAUGCUGGCCUGAAUCCUGCACCUACUCUGGAGGUCUUUUGCCUUGUACCAUGGAGUUCGCCUACAUCACCUUGGAGAACCGACCCAGCACCUUCCAGGCCGGCUGGAUGCAUCCCCAGGAAGGAAGCCGCUGGUGGGGCCGGUCGCACUGAGUGCGCUUGGAGAACAAAGUGCUGUGUACAUUUCUGCUCAACACUACUCUAAGCCCACAGCGCCAGUUCAGAGGCUUUGGGAAGAGCAGGUGCCUUCAUCCAGUUUCCACUGUACCUCUUCUGAGGUACAGGAGAUAGAGGUCCCUCAUUUCAAGGUGACACUGGCAUCAGUCAAGCACAGAGCUAACCAACUGCCAAUCGUAAACAAGGAAGCCAGUGAGGACGCCCAAGGAAAGGCUCAGAAAGCUUCCGCCAGGGAGUGGGAUUUGAGCUCUACCUUACAGAACAGGUUGAAAAUAAAGAGCAGAGUAAUCAAAAGUAGAUUUAUGUGUGUAUAUGUAUCUGUUGCUAAUAUCCAGCCUUAAAAAUCCUUGACAGUGGCCUUCAGACUUAAACAUCUUCUCACUCCACCGAGAGCACCAAUCUGACAAACGCAUUCGGUCCUCUAGUCCAAUCCAGCUCAGUUUUCAAGCCAAGGGGAUUUUGCUGAAUUAUAUAUUCAAGAUAUCAGUAGAGUUAUAAAAGAAGGGUUGUUUCCCAGUUAAAUUAGGGAUGGUAGGAGGAAUCCUAGAUCCAACAUGUGGAAGAAAUAUGUGCAUUUAAUCAAAUCUCUAAGACAGCUCUUCAGCCUCUGAAAGCAUAGAUGGAAAACUAUCUCCUUGUGAUACUUUAACAGAUUCCUUAGGAACGAAAGAGAAAAGUUACAGUCAGUAACUUUUCAUGUCAGUGCCCGCAGACAUGAAUUCCUUGGCCCCUCUUAUAGCAUUCAUCAGUGGAUGGGCUGACGUAAUGACAGGCUCACUCAUUCAUGGUCACAUGCAGGAUGUACGGAAGAGUAGCUUCAAGUUAUUUGUUUUGUUUUUGGUUUUUUGUUUUUUUGAGACAGAGUCUCACUCUGUCGCCCAGGCUGGAGUGCAAUGGCACCAUUUUGGCUCACCGCAAGCUCCAUC